CGUAGGUGGCGAGCGUUAUCCGGAUUUAUUGGGUUUAAAGGGUGCGUAGGCGGCUUAAUAAGUCGGUGGUCAAAGGUAGCAGCUUAACUGUUUUACAUGCCACCGAUACUGUUGAGCUUGAGAUAUGUGGAGGCAGAUGGAAUUUCCGGUGUAGCGGUGAAAUGCAUAGAUACCGGAAGGAACUCCUAUUGCGAAGGCAAUCUGCUACAGAUAAACUGACGCUGAUGCACGAAAGCGUGGGGAUCAAACAGGAUUAGAUACCCUGGUAGUCCACGCCGUAAACGAUGAUUUACUAGUUGUUGGCCCGCUGGGGGUCAGUGACCAAGGGAAACCGAUAAGUAAUCCACCUGGGGAGUACGCCGGCAACGGUG
RNAcentral lists this ribosomal RNA (371 nucleotides) under uncultured organism. Its description in RNAcentral is "bacterial SSU rRNA". It matches the Rfam family "Bacterial small subunit ribosomal RNA", at positions 526 to 896 of the family's 1533-position model. The record is from RNAcentral.